This 65-nucleotide transfer RNA is filed under the name Cavia porcellus (domestic guinea pig). It matches the Rfam family "tRNA". From Rfam's summary of the family: Transfer RNA (tRNA) molecules are approximately 80 nucleotides in length. Lineage: Eukaryota; Metazoa; Chordata; Mammalia; Rodentia; Caviidae. The record is from Rfam by way of RNAcentral.
GGGGAUUUAGCUCAGUGGCAUAAGCACCUGCCUUGCAAGCAGGCGGUCGUUGAGUUCGAUCCCCA